CAACGCGGAUAGUUCGUUGAAUAAUUAAACAAACUAAAUGGCAUCACUGGUGGUUCUUUUUUCCACUCCGCUAAACUGUCAUCUCAAACAAAAACAAAUGGAUCAUACAACUGCUAUGAAUACAUUCGACUCGUUUGCUUCCAUCAAUCGGUAAGUGAGAAAGAUGAUUUCUCCCAUCACCACAGUGCGGAUUUCCACUUCUAUCACAGAAGCCAACAACAUCCGUUUUCCUGCAGCAGUAACCUCCAACCCCUGUUGGCAAUGCUGGGGGACAGCAUUAACAGCAGCAGCAGCAGAAUUUGACCAUGGUAUGGUAUUGCGAAGAACUUUCCCCAUUAGAGGUUCCGUGCUUCGCGCACAUUCAAAAAUCCUCUUCAGACACGAAAACUCAACGACAAGGAGGUAUUUAUCAACUUGCUCAGCUGAAUUACCACCCGGAGGAACCCGAAUGCACUGAUUCCGUUGUAUAGUAGAAUGAAAAUAGGCGAGGUAAGCGAACGUAAUCGCAUGAUAUUUUAAUGUUCGCAUUUUUAUCCGGAUCAUACAACUGCUAUGAAUACAUCCGACUCAAUCAAUCGGCGAAUGAGAAAGAUGAUUUCCCUCAUCACCACAUUGCUUAUUUCCACUUCUGUCACACCAGCCAACAGCAUCAGCUUUCCCGCAGCAGUAUCCUUUAAGUCCAGGGUGCUAUUCCGGGGAACAGCAUCAACAGCAACAGCAGCAGGACCUGGCCAUCGAUAGUAUUUCGAUCAAUUUUCCCCAUCGGAGAUCCCGUGCUUCACGCACAUUGAAGAAUCCUCCUCAGCCACAUAUCUGUGUCAUCAAGGGCAAGGAGGUAUUCAUCAAUGUACUCAGUCGGAUUUGAAUCGUCAAUCCAGACAACCCGGAUGCACCGAUUCCAUUAUAUACCUUAUUUUUAUUAUACAUGGAUUUUUAUUAUUUUUUUUCGAUAAAAUGAUUAAAAUCGAUCAAUGUAUUUCCUUUUCAUUUUCAAUAACAAACCAAUACAAACAAGCAGCAAGCAGUGCUGGAAGCAGCGCUGCAAGCAGGUCGACGCCUUGCACAUGUUGGCGAAAAAGUAGCGUCAAGUUGUUCGAUGAAUGCAUAUGAAAGGUCGAUAACUCGAUUGCAAGGUGGCAUCAUUUGAGGUCGAUUGUUGACAUUUCAUCGACCCGAUCUUGGCAGGCAAAACGGAAUGUGGGUACCUAAACUCGUUACCACUGACACACUGGAGAAAUAGUUUAGUAAAAGCAGCUACCAAAUCUUUA
Molecule: long non-coding RNA, 1268 nt
Organism: Toxorhynchites rutilus septentrionalis
Lineage: Eukaryota; Metazoa; Arthropoda; Insecta; Diptera; Culicidae
Exons: 3
Source: RefSeq, a predicted model, not a curated record